GUAACAGCAAGGUAAAAGCAUGGUAACAUGUCACUCGUGCCACGCCCCCCUCCUUUGCAGGGGGGUGUGGUCAGCUGCAGCUCAUUUGCAACAGAAUCAGCCCUUGCAAAAACAG
This is a long non-coding RNA of Notothenia coriiceps (black rockcod), 115 nucleotides long. RefSeq lists it as uncharacterized. The record is from RefSeq and is a predicted model, not a curated record. Lineage: Eukaryota; Metazoa; Chordata; Actinopteri; Perciformes; Nototheniidae. The transcript has 3 exons.